CUUAAGCCCUCACAGUUCUGUCCACAGUGAAUUAGAAUCUCUUCAAUGAAAGUACACUUCAGUGUGCAGGCUGUUGAGUUAUGUGAAACUGAAACUUUUUAUCAUCGGCUAAUUUUUUUCCCUGUGACAUCUGCACUACUUUCGUAUACAUGUUAAUUCUUUCUGGUGAAAGUGAAAGCUAAUUUUCUUUCUCCAAUCCAGAUAUGUCGAUUGGGGAGGGAGGAUUUGAAAGGCACGGUUUUGAUGGAACCUUCAGUUAAUGCACAAUAAGUGUUCAUCCCGGACAUUGACACUGUAACUGAUAUUGUGUUUGUGUAUGCACCAGGGAAGGCAAGUGCGAUAAUAUUCAGUCUUAACUACUGUCCUUCACAUCGAAAAGGCACUGGAAUUUCUGCAUCAAGGUGGUGUUACCCAAUCUGUUGCCUCAUGCAAUCCAAAUAGGAAGAUCUGCACCUGGUAAUUGAUCUGGCGUAAGCCUGUCCCAAGAGUAGUUUUCUAUCAACAACAGUGAAUUCUCUGCAUAAGUUUGCUCUUUCAGCCAGAGGUUCAGUUUAUCAAUCCAGAUAUGAAAUCAUGAAUCAAACUAUAGACAGAAGGUAUUGACUCCUCACCUUUACAUCAAAAAAUCUAUACAUAAACAUGCCAU
Molecule: long non-coding RNA, 646 nt
Organism: Triticum dicoccoides
Lineage: Eukaryota; Viridiplantae; Streptophyta; Magnoliopsida; Poales; Poaceae
Exons: 3
Source: RefSeq, a predicted model, not a curated record